GAUAGCUGCAGGCUCAGCUGUCCUGAAGUGGUUCCAGGAGAUGUGGCUUCAGCUAUAGUAGCUUCAGACAACCUACAGUCAGUCACCCAGGAGGUCUCCAACCUGUAGCCACUUUGGAUGCCUCCACCCACCUUCAGCUGACCCCAUUCUGGCAGAAAAGGAGCACCUCCCCAGCCCACAACAGCCAAAACAGGUAAUAAGUGAUACAGAGCAGAAACUCCUGUCCCUCUUUGCUGAUGACCCAGCACAAGG
Molecule: long non-coding RNA, 252 nt
Filed under: Ictidomys tridecemlineatus (thirteen-lined ground squirrel)
Lineage: Eukaryota; Metazoa; Chordata; Mammalia; Rodentia; Sciuridae
Description: lncRNA (ENSSTOG00000031552.1)
Source: RNAcentral